Pan troglodytes (chimpanzee) is the source of this 3277-nucleotide RNA transcript. It is a transcript of the gene named transmembrane protein 39A, with no coding region annotated. NCBI's taxonomy places the organism in Eukaryota, Metazoa, Chordata, Mammalia, Primates, Hominidae. The transcript has 10 exons. The record is from RefSeq and is marked provisional.
GCACUCGCGGCUGGGGCAGACCGCGGUCGCGUAGCUGACGUCAUCGCCGUGCGCUGCCACGUCUGCUCAGCUCCGCGGUAAUGGAGGCUAGGGAUGGGUGCUGAAGUAUCAGGCUCUGGCUCUAGCUUUAGCUCUGGCACUGGAACUGCCUCGGAGUCUGGGUCUGAGUCUGGCAGCCCGAAGCCUGGACACCUUUUCUUGAUUCUCUAGGCGGGGGCUGCCUGCGUCCAAGCAGCUGGUUUGCAGCGUUCCAACGCUGGGAGGGAGUUCCCUUACCUGGGGUCCAGUCUGUAAAGUUGUCGCCGCUUUCUAGGGAUCCCGCCCCACCGGCUGGGACUCUUCCAUGCAGUUGAAACUGGUUGACAACCAUUAACCUGGGUUGCAACUACAGGUGGCACUGGAAGCAGACUGGUUCCUGGACAUGCCCGGUGGAAGGAGGGGCCCUAGUCGGCAACAGCUAAGCCGUUCAGCUUUACCUUCUUUGCAGACUUUGGUUGGUGGAGGCUGUGGCAAUGGAACAGGCUUGAGAAACAGGAAUGGUAGUGCUAUUGGCCUUCCAGUCCCACCUAUCACAGCCUUAAUCACCCCAGGUCCUGUUCGUCAUUGCCAAAUUCCUGACUUGCCUGUGGAUGGGAGCCUACUCUUUGAAUUCCUUUUUUUCAUCUACCUGUUGGUUGCUCUUUUCAUUCAGUACAUCAACAUUUAUAAAACAGUGUGGUGGUAUCCUUACAAUCAUCCUGCUUCUUGUACAUCACUGAAUUUUCAUCUCAUUGAUUAUCAUCUGGCAGCAUUCAUCACAGUGAUGCUUGCGAGGAGGCUUGUAUGGGCUCUCAUCUCAGAGGCUACUAAGGCAGGUGCAGCAUCAAUGAUUCACUACAUGGUUCUGAUAUCAGCUCGCUUGGUACUACUCACUUUGUGUGGAUGGGUACUUUGUUGGACCCUCGUCAAUCUCUUUCGAAGCCAUUCAGUCCUCAAUCUCCUUUUCCUUGGCUACCCGUUUGGUGUUUAUGUUCCUCUUUGCUGUUUUCAUCAAGAUAGUAGAGCUCAUCUUCUUCUCACAGACUACAACUAUGUGGUUCAGCAUGAGGCAGUGGAGGAAAGUGCCUCGACUGUGGGAGGCUUGGCCAAAUCCAAAGACUUUCUCUCCUUGUUGCUGGAGUCGCUAAAAGAACAGUUUAAUAAUGCCACACCCAUCCCCACCCACAGUUGUCCCCUAUCUCCAGACCUCAUUCGCAAUGAAGUAGAAUGUCUGAAAGCAGAUUUCAACCACAGAAUCAAGGAGGUUCUCUUCAACUCCCUCUUCAGUGCCUACUAUGUUGCAUUUCUCCCCCUGUGUUUUGUGAAGAGUACCCAGUACUAUGACAUGCGCUGGUCAUGUGAGCACCUCAUUAUGGUGUGGAUCAAUGCUUUUGUCAUGCUCACCACGCAACUGUUGCCAUCCAAAUACUGUGAUUUGCUACAUAAAUCAGCUGCUCACCUGGGCAAGUGGCAGAAGUUGGAACAUGGGUCCUACAGCAAUGCUCCACAGCACAUAUUAGCACAGGCCUUCAAGCCCAGGAACUGAAAGAGAUUGGGCCAGGCUGAAAAGAAACCCGACUGUGGGCAAAGGACAGAUUUCAAUAAAAAUUGAAAAUACAAUCCACAGUACUAGUACUGUACAUCUUCAGGCUACUGAUGGCACAUGGCCAUGAGGUGUAUCAUCACUUUAAUGCUGUUGGUCAGAAAAUACAAUAUGGCCUCAAGGGGUGCUGGUGCGGCACAGCAGAUGUUUAUAUAGAGCCAUGGGGCCUUACAACGUGGCAGUGCCUUCAGAUGUAUCUCAUGCCCGCUUUUAUUUCUUAUUUCAUCGACCAUUAAGGCUGUUAAAUCUGCUCAUCCUUAUUGAGGGCAGUGUCGUCUUCUAUCAGCUCUAUUCCUUGCUGCGGUCGGAGAAGUGGAACCACACACUUUCCAUGGCUCUCAUCCUCUUCUGCAACUACUAUGUUUUAUUUAAACUUCUCCGGGACAGAAUAGUAUUAGGCAGGGCAUACUCCUACCCACUCAACAGUUAUGAACUCAAGGCAAACUAAGCUGCCUCUCAACAAUGAGGGAGAACUCAGAUAAAAAUAUUUUCAUACGUUCUAUUUUUUUCUUGUGAUUUUUAUAAAUAUUUAAGAUAUUUUAUAUUUUGUAUACUAUUAUGUUUUGAAAGUCGGGAAGGGUAAGGGAUAUUAAAUGUAUCCGUAAACAAGGUGAUGUGAUCUUUCAUGCGUUAGUAUAUUCGAAUAAUAUACAUAUGAGAGGUAUGCCUGUCCAGUAAAGAGAUUGAUUUGUUUGUAUGGCUCUGGAAUAACUCAUUCGUUUAUGAACACAUCUCAUGUAUUACUUGACACAGUACCUUUGGUAUGUCUGCUUUUCUUUCAAUCCUCAUUAUCUUUAGCCCUCAGCUGGCCAGUAAUUAUUGCUAAAGAAAGGGAGAUCAAUGGAGUUGCCUACCAGCACCCAUUCUCUUUUAGUUCAGCUGGCUAAUAGUAUUGGAAUACAUUGGGAAAAGAGUGGGUUAAAGUCCUAGGUGGGGUUCUCUUUGUUGCCUACCAGGAGGAAGCAGUAGGCUUCCUUUCUAAGAUACGGACUCAGCUGGUCUAUUUUACCCUGUGACAUUUAAAUAUACUUUUGAAUAAGCUACUAUCCUGAGGCUGAGGGUUUUGCUGCCACUUUUCCUGUGUUUCCACUUCUGCUUCCAAAGAUUUUCCUCUUAGUUGUUUGAAAUAAUACUUUGCCAGACAGGAAGUCUUUAGACUGCCCACAUUCAUGAAGAAGAUGAUGUGUGGCUGGAUCAGUAGGAGAAGCUGAGUGCAAAUGCCAUGUGGGCUAGAGUAUGGGAAGGUUGAAAAUUCCAAGUAACUGGGAGAAUGGGCAAGUCCUCAGCUGAACAAUCUUGGAUGUAGUCUAGCAGCAACCCACCUACAAUGGCGUUAUGUUUGGAGUUAUGAGGGGAAGUGAAAGAUAAGAAUUACCUACAGCUUUGUAUUCAGAUAAUUUAUAUCCAAAAUUUGUGUUUUAAAUUUCAUACUCCAGGACUUUCAUGUUUAUGAGUAUUAGCCUUUUAAGUUAUGGGAGGUGAUAUACUUAGUCCAUUGAUGUUGUCACUUGUCAUCUAAACUUAUGAGACCUUGUCUUAGAGAAUCUAAAAUAUAUUGUCAUAUGUUUUCUGUGCUGAGUUUGGUUUGUUACACUGUGAAGCUUUUGGUGAAACAAAAUAAGACUUAUGAAGUAAAAAGACCAAUCAUGUCGUUGA